GUUCUGGCCUUUCAUUGAUACUGUGUAGCAAUGUUUAGAGUUUUUCUGUAAAUAUGGUGAUUAAAGGGAAACUUUCAGCAGAGACCACCCCUUCUGUUUGUCAUUUUUUUAUUACUGCUUUUAAUUUAUUGAUUUUUUCAUAAUUUUGUAAAAUUUGUUAAUUUGAAUUUAGAUUUUUUUUUUUUUUUGCAGAGUUCACGAAAUCUUUUUUCCCCAGGUGGUCCUUGGAGAAAAUCUGCUGGUCC
RNAcentral lists this long non-coding RNA (245 nucleotides) under Mytilus galloprovincialis (Mediterranean mussel). Lineage: Eukaryota; Metazoa; Mollusca; Bivalvia; Mytilida; Mytilidae. The record is from RNAcentral.